This 253-nucleotide ribosomal RNA is filed under the name uncultured bacterium. RNAcentral describes it as "partial 16S ribosomal RNA". It matches the Rfam family "Bacterial small subunit ribosomal RNA", at positions 524 to 776 of the family's 1533-position model. The record is from RNAcentral.
UACGGGGGGGGCAAGCGUUGUUCGGAAUUACUGGGCGUAAAGCGUGCGCAGGCGGUUUUGUAAGCCAGAUGUGAAAUCCCCGGGCUUAACCUGGGAAUGGCAUUUGGGACUGCAAGGCUCGAGUGCGGCAGAGGAGACUGGAAUUCCUGGUGUAGCAGUGAAAUGCGUAGAUAUCAGGAGGAACACCGAUGGCGAAGGCAGGUCUCUGGGCUGACACUGACGCUCAUGCACGAAAGCGUGGGGAGCAAACAGG